Molecule: long non-coding RNA, 1279 nt
Filed under: Papio anubis (olive baboon)
Lineage: Eukaryota; Metazoa; Chordata; Mammalia; Primates; Cercopithecidae
Description: lncRNA (ENSPANG00000048680.1)
Source: RNAcentral
GUUUUAUUUUGUUUCUUAUUACACUGUUUUUUGGUUUCUAGCAUUAGAUUCUUUACCAGAAUUUCCAUCUCUCUGCUUACAUUACCCAUCUGUUUCUUGCAUGUUGCCUACUUUUCCUAUUUGAGCCCUUAACAAUGAUUUUUGAAUUCCCUGUUGCUUGCUUGAUCUGUGUUCUUUUUUCUUUUUUCUUUUUUUUUUUUUUGAGACGGAGUCUCGCCCUGUUGCCCAGGCUGGAGUGCAGUGGCCGGAUCUCAGCUCACUGUAACCUCUGCCUCCCGGGUUCAAGAGUUUCUCCUGCGUCAGCCUCCCGAGCAGCUGGGAUUACAGGUGCCCGCCACCACGCCUGGCUAAUUUUUGUAUUUUUAGUAGAGACGGGGUUUCACCGUGUUGGCCAGACUGGUCUCAAACUCCUGACCUCGUGAUCCUCCCACCUUGGCCUCCCAAAGUGCUGGGAUUACAGGCAUGAUCCACCGUGCCCAGCCCUUGAUCUAUGUUCUUAUUUGCUUUUUAGCAUGCCUUGUAAUUUUUGUUGAAAGUUGGACAUGUAUUGGGUAAUAGGCACUGAGAUAAAUAGGCAUCUAGUAUGAGGAUUCGUGUUCAUUUGGCUAGGAGUUGGGCUUUGUUUAGCUCUGUUGGUGUGGUGGUAAGGCACGAGGGAGAGAAGUGUUCUCAAUCUUAGCGAUUAAAUCUUAAGUCUCUUAGUGGGCCUGAGUCUCUGGCCUGGGACCUUCACUUAUGCUUCUUUUUGGAAAGCUUUCCUGUCCCUCUCAGGUGAGACAGGAAGAGGAGAAAUGGCUAGAGUGAGAGGAGUACUUUUCCCCCAUGGCUCUAGGACAAGCCUAAAGCCUGGUUAAGUGUUUCCCCCGAGGAGUUUAUUUUCUUUUAUCAUUUUUAUUUCAUUAUGAAGAAAGCUCUGGACAUAUUUCAUAAGAAUUGCUCUUCCCCUCCUGCAAGAACUAUGCUGGCAUCUUUCUCUGAUCUUCACAAUGAGAAACUGGUGGGAUUCCUAGAGGUCAUGUUCACAAAACCAAGAGGCUUUCCCCAAGACUGUGUUCCCGGAAGUGAGCCUACCAGUUUAGAGAUCCAGCACUUCUGCUCCAGCAAAGAACCUGUCCCAGCUGUGGUUAGAGAGAGACAUGAUGAAGGAAAAAGUGUCAGAGAGAAUGUGGUGUUGCUGGCAUUGAAGAUGGAUAAAGGGACCACGAACCAAGAAAUGCAGGUGGCCUCUAGAAGCUGGAAAGGAGUACCUGCAUCCCUUCCUCCACAGACAGCAGCAUAA